Marmota flaviventris (yellow-bellied marmot) is the source of this 427-nucleotide long non-coding RNA. RefSeq lists it as uncharacterized. The record is from RefSeq and is a predicted model, not a curated record. NCBI's taxonomy places the organism in Eukaryota, Metazoa, Chordata, Mammalia, Rodentia, Sciuridae.
CCCUGGUGGGGGGCAGAGUUCCUAGCCUGUGUGAUGCCCAGUUUAGAAGCCGCCACCCCCGCCCCAAGGCAGGAGGUGUCGCCACUGUGGGGAAGGAACAGCAGAGUCCAGCCUCCGGGGAGCCCAGCCGCCCGGGGAGCAGGGGAGCGUGGGGAUCCGCCCGAGGCCCUUAAGCAGGUCGGUGCUCCCCCUCUGCCAUCUCCCAGAGAAGUGCCCGAGCCCGGCUUCUGAAGGAAGAGGAGCGUAUGCCCAAGGGCCACGGAGAACAUCGCACCUCUAAGGGGACAGUGUGAAUCUCUUUCCCGCUCUGCCAUGGCCCAUAUAGUACCUGAGAUGGGUGUGACCUGCCAAGAUGUCACUCAACCUGCACUGCAAGAUAUCAGGAAGCAAGACUCUGCCUUUGAAACCUUACCUCUGCCUUUGAUGU